GUGGGGAAUUUUGGACAAUGGGCGCAAGCCUGAUCCAGCAAUGCCGCGUGUGUGAAGAAGGCCUUCGGGUUGUAAAGCACUUUUGGCAGGAAAGAAAUAGUGCGUGCUAAUACCAUGCGCGAAUGACGGUACCUGCAGAAUAAGCACCGGCUAACUACGUGCCAGCAGCCGCGGUAAGACGUAGGGUGCAAGCGUUAAUCGGAAUUACUGGGCGUAAAGCGUGCGCAGGCGGCUUUGUAAGACAGGUGUGAAAUCCCCGGGCGCAACCUGGGAGCUGCACUUGUGACUGCAAGGCUAGAGUGUGUCAGAGGGAGGUGGAAUUCCGCGUGUAGCAGUGAAAUGCGUAGAGAUGCGGAGGAACACCGAUGGCGAAGGCAGCCUCCUGGGAUAACACUGACGCUCAGGCACGAAAGCGUGGGGAGCAAACAGGAUUAGAAACCCGGGUAGUCC
This 450-nucleotide ribosomal RNA is filed under the name uncultured bacterium. Its description in RNAcentral is "partial 16S ribosomal RNA". It matches the Rfam family "Bacterial small subunit ribosomal RNA", at positions 354 to 796 of the family's 1533-position model. The record is from RNAcentral.